This is a non-coding RNA of Heterocephalus glaber (naked mole-rat), 2013 nucleotides long. Lineage: Eukaryota; Metazoa; Chordata; Mammalia; Rodentia; Bathyergidae. The record is from RefSeq and is a predicted model, not a curated record.
AGGAGUCUGCGCAUGCCCUGGAGGGCGUAGCUAUUUCCCACCUGAGACUCUGGAGGAGGCGGAGCCGGCUCAGAAGGCGCAGCUUGAAGGCACCACCGAGGAAGUGCAGGUGCUGCUCGGGAUCUCACUCGCAGAACACUUCGAGAUACCCCGUCCCCGGUAUGGAGAGGCGCCUGCUGCUGUCUGAGACGUAUGAACUGGCUCCUUUUCCAGACGGACCCCGGAGCAGGUCCCUCUCUGGGAGAAGGUAAGGAGCUUACGUGGUCACUCCAGGGAGAUGCUACUAUAGCUUUGACACUGUAAUAUAUGUGCCUAGAACACUGCAGGUGGAGGGAUUUGGGAUGAUGUCCUGGAGCAGAACUCCUAUUCCCUUCAGUGAAAAAGGUGGGUCACUUGUCGUUGAGAGGCAGGUAUGAUCGUGUUACUUACAUGUAUAUUCAGACAAGUCUAUGAGUUGGCUAGGGUGGUUAUGUUGUUUCCUUCAAUACAUGAAAUCUAUGUAUCUUUGGGGUGGGGGGGCACUAGCUGAUUAGUUGGUAAAAACCAUAUAAUACAAUCCCUAGCCUUUAUUUUUUUGUGGUGCUGAGGAUUGAACCCAGGAUCUCAAGUGUGGCAGGCAGGUCCUCUACCACUGAACUACAUCCCCAGCUCCAAAGCCUAUUUUUAAAUAGUAUUCUUACCCCUCAGGAUUAAAGGUUAAUGGUGACUGUUUAAUGUGUAAGGGCAGAGGAAUCUAGGCAGUUUUUUCUUUUCUUUUCUUUUUUGUAUGCUGGGGAUGGAAUUCAGAGCCCCCCUACAUGUUAAGCAGGCACUAGGCAUUAAGGUAUACACCUAGUCCCAGCAGGCAAUUUUUCUUGUUUGUUUUGUUGUGCAUGUGGUGCUUGGACCUUGUGAAUGCUAGGCAAGCAUUGCUCUACCACUGACCAACAUCCCCAGUCCUUAGGCAGUUCUUAGUGAAACUUUUUAAAUGUCUACUGAUGACUAACAUUAGUUUACCAUCUCUUAGCAGCAUUAAAUCAAGCCUUGACUAAAACUUCUAAUAAGCUAAUGACUGUUGGAGAAAGGUAUUAACUUUUUCUCUUUGUAUCUCCUCUGACCCUUUUUUUUUUUUAACCUUUGCUGGCCUUAACAUGAUUGUCAAGUAUUUUAUAUACAUGAGUGGGAAUCUUUAUAUUGCUAUUGUAAUAAAGUACAUGCUUGAUUUGUCAUUCUUAGUCUUUGGGAAUAUGCUAUAAAAUUAAUGAAUGUGCUUAUCUUUUUUGUAGAUACAGUGAAGCUAUUAGAAAUAGCAAAAGACAAUGCAGCAAAUGCUUUAGGAACAACCAACCUUGACUUGUCUGUUAGUCUCAGAACUGUUCCUAUAGCUAAAGAAACAAGGCAUGGAAUGGCCAUUCCAAGCAAUGGUGCAAAGUUUGAGGUAAGUAUUCCAGGUAUAUCUAGAGAAACAAACCAUUUAGGACUACUGCCAAAAAGAUAUGAUUAGCCAUUUUUAUUUGCUUUACCUCAGACUACACUUCUAAGAAAGAUUAGCUAAAUAUAAUUUGUUUUAGUCAAAAAGCAGAUCUGAAAAUACUAGACAGCCUCUCAACUAUGAAAAUGGAAGAGUAAAGCACUUUAUUUUUUAUUCUGGGGCAUCCCAGAAAGCUCCAUAGUCCAGAAAACCCCUCCUUGGUACAAAAAAGUCCUGGUUUCCAGCACUGAGUAUAGAAGAGGAAAAUAUAAAACCAUAUAGUGGUCCAAAUAAAGAGACUAAAGACAAUACUGUUCAUAGUGUAAAUAAAUAUGACAGUUGUCUGCCUCUGCUGAAUCCUGAAUUGGUGUCCAUGACUGGUGGCUCAUGAUAAUGAAAAAAAUAUAUUGUGUGGGUGAAUAAGAGAAAUUUUGAUAACAGAUGUGUUGGUGCCUUACACUGUAGAGUUGAUUCUCUCAGAUCUUAACCGACAGUCUUGUUUUCUACAGCAUAUCAAGUGAUGUGUUGAAUCACAGCAAUAAAGUGUUCUUCUUAACUCUUAA